GACGAACGCUGGCGGCGUGCUUAACACAUGCAAGUCGAACGAUGAACCACUUCGGUGGGGAUUAGUGGCGAACGGGGAGUAACACGUGGGCAAUCUGCCCUUCACUCUGGGACAAGCCCUGGAAACGGGGUCUAAUACCGGAUACGACACUCUCGGGCAUCCGAUGAGUGUGGAAAGCUCCGGCGGUGAAGGAUGAGCCCGCGGCCUAUCAGCUUGUUGGUGAGGUAACGGCUCACCAAGGCGACGACGGGUAGCCGGCCUGAGAGGGCGACCGGCCACACUGGGACUGAGACACGGCCCAGACUCCUACGGGAGGCAGCAGUGGGGAAUAUUGCACAAUGGGCGAAAGCCUGAUGCAGCGACGCCGCGUGAGGGAUGACGGCCUUCGGGUUGUAAACCUCUUUCAGCAGGGAAGAGCGAAAGUGACGGUACCUGCAGAAGAAGCGCCGGCUAACUACGUGCCAGCAGCCGCGGUAAUACGUAGGGCGCGAGCGUUGUCCGGAAUUAUUGGGCGUAAAGAGCUCGUAGGCGGUCUGUCGCGUCGGAUGUGAAAGCCCGGGGCUUAACCCCGGGUCUGCAUUCGAUACGGGCAGACUAGAGUGUGGUAGGGGAGAUCGGAAUUCCUGGUUGUAGCGGUGAAAAUGCGCAGAUAUCAGGAGGAACCACCCGGUGGCGAAGGCGGAUCUCUGGGCCAUUACUGACGCUGAGGAGCGAAAGCGUGGGGAGCGAAACAGGAUUAGAUACCCUGGGUAGUCCACGCCGUAAACGGUGGGAACUAGGUGUUGGCGACAUUCCACGUCGUCGGUGCCGCAGCUAACGCAUUAAGUUCCCCGCCUGGGGAGUACGGCCGCAAGGCUAAAACUCAAAGGAAUUGACGGGGGCCCGCACAAGCAGCGGAGCAUGUGGCUUAAUUUGACGCAACGCGAAGAACCUUACCAAGGCUUGACAUACACCGGAAACGGCCAGAGAUGGUCGCCCCCUUGUGGUCGGUGUACAGGUGGUGCAUGGCUGUUGUCAGCUCGUGUCGUGAGAUGUUGGGUUAAGUCCCGCAACGAGCGCAACCCUUGUUCUGUGUUGCCAGCAUGCCCUUCGGGGUGAUGGGGACUCACAGGAGACUGCCGGGGUCAACUCGGAGGAAGGUGGGGACGACGUCAAGUCAUCAUGCCCCUUAUGUCUUGGGCUGCACACGUGCUACAAUGGCAGGUACAAUGAGCUGCGAAGCCGUGAGGCGGAGCGAAUCUCAAAAAGCCUGUCUCAGUUCGGAUUGGGGUCUGCAACUCGACCCCAUGAAGUCGGAGUUGCUAGUAAUCGCAGAUCAGCAUUGCUGCGGUGAAUACGUUCCCGGGCCUUGUACACACCGCCCGUCACGUCACGAAAGUCGGUAACACCCGAAGCCGGUGGCCCAACCCGUAAGGGAGGGAGCUGUCGAAGGUGGGACUGGCGAUUGGGACGAAGUCGUAACAAGGUAGCCGCCG
RNAcentral lists this ribosomal RNA (1475 nucleotides) under Streptomyces scabiei. RNAcentral's name for it is "bacterial SSU rRNA". It matches the Rfam family "Bacterial small subunit ribosomal RNA". Lineage: Bacteria; Bacillati; Actinomycetota; Actinomycetes; Kitasatosporales; Streptomycetaceae. The record is from RNAcentral.